Molecule: unclassified non-coding RNA, 372 nt
Filed under: Zea mays
Lineage: Eukaryota; Viridiplantae; Streptophyta; Magnoliopsida; Poales; Poaceae
Description: misc RNA Zm00001eb193430
Source: RNAcentral
CUGCUGCUCCCUGCGCUGAAUCGGAUCGGAGGGAAGCUCGGCGUGUGCUGCUGGAGAUGGUCGGCUGGAGCAGAGGGACCUGCGCCCAUGGAGCAGGGAGGGGCGCCGAGGGAGGUGCCUGCUGCUCGCCAGAAGGGGGCGCCGGCCAUGGAGAGGAAAGGAGCCGUGCUCCCUGUUGCUGGCGUGGGGAAUCCAGGGAGGAAGAUGGCGCCUGCUGCUGCGCGAGGGAAGCCGGGGAGGAGGGCGCCAUGGGGAGCUGCUGCGUCGCCAGGACAUGGACCUCACCGAGGUCGAUCCAAGAAGCUCCAGCGCGCAAGGGAGAAAGGCUCCCUGCUGCAGCCGCUCUCCAGGAGGAGCAGGGAGGACGCUUGA